Molecule: transfer RNA, 88 nt
Filed under: Parcubacteria bacterium DG_72
Lineage: Bacteria; Candidatus Parcubacteria
Description: tRNA-Leu
Rfam family: tRNA
About the family: Transfer RNA (tRNA) molecules are approximately 80 nucleotides in length. Their secondary structure includes four short double-helical elements and three loops (D, anti-codon, and T loops). Further hydrogen bonds mediate the characteristic L-shaped molecular structure. tRNAs have two regions of fundamental functional importance: the anti-codon, which is responsible for specific mRNA codon recognition, and the 3' end, to which the tRNAs corresponding amino acid is attached (by aminoacyl-tRNA synthetases). tRNAs cope with the degeneracy of the genetic code in two manners: having more than one tRNA (with a specific anti-codon) for a particular amino acid; and 'wobble' base-pairing, i.e. permitting non-standard base-pairing at the 3rd anti-codon position.
Source: RNAcentral
GCGGACGUGGCGGAAUUGGUAUACGCGAUAGGUUGAGGACCUAUGGGGAUUUAUCCUCGUGUGGGUUCAAGUCCCACCGUCCGCACAA